This 675-nucleotide long non-coding RNA is filed under the name Physcomitrium patens. Its description in RNAcentral is "long non-coding RNA (PPAT_LNC010284)". Lineage: Eukaryota; Viridiplantae; Streptophyta; Bryopsida; Funariales; Funariaceae. The record is from RNAcentral.
UUCCUGAAAAACACCAAUAACGAUGCGUUUAUGGUAAAGCAACACAUCAAGCAAAUUUCGUGUAGGCCUUGUAUCCAGCCUAACGCCCUAAGAAUCACCACCUAAAAUUCUCUACAAAAAAAUGGGUAACAACAUCUUGCAAGCCCAGUGCAGCCAUAGUUUUAAUUUUGUUCUAAGAAGAAGAUAUAAGAAAGGUCCAAGGUUCAACUACAACAUAGACAUAAAUUAUUUACAAAAUUAGAAGGUGGAUACAUAAAUGCUCCAAGCCUGAAGUAUCCAUCGGCAUUUGAGAAGUGGCAAGUUCUCAGACACGUGCCAUGCAUUUCUACACCAACUUCAUACACCAUACGAAUAAGCCCUGGCACCUUGAAAUAACAAUUUAAAAUGCCAAUGCUCUUGAACAUUUAGUGUCGAAGUGAAACACUGAACGAAGCGGUAAUGGAACCUAGUACGUGUGCUCACAAUGUCGAUCUUAUUUUUAAUUUAAUUUUAAUUUUUUUUUGGUGAAAUACGAAAACCGUAAUGUACGGACCUGACAUAUGUCGCAGCGGGGAGGCUCAAGCUGUCCAACAAGAGGCACGCGGACAUGCUUAUUGGCUAGCUUAUUAGCAGCAUGGACCCUAGUGUCGCAACUUGUGCACAGUGCAGCUUCGUCUGCACAACACAUCACCGCCG